AGAGUUUGAUCAUGGCUACAGAACGAACGCUGGCGGCAGGUCUUAGGCAUGCAAGUCGAACGGGUGUAGCAAUACAUCAGUGGACGCACGAGUGAGUAACGCGUGGGAAGCUGACCCAUCACUGGGGAAUAACGUUUGGAAACGAACGCUAAUACCGCAUACGCCCGAAAGGGGAAAGAUUUAUCGGUGAUGGGAUGUGCCCGCGUUGGAUUAGCUUGUUGUGGGUAACGGCCUACCAAGGCGAUGAUCCAUAGCUGGUCUGAGAGGACGAUCAGCCACGCUGGGACUGAGACACGGCCCAGACUCCUACGGGAGGCAGCAGCUAAGAAUAUUGGACAAUGGGGGAAACCCUGAAUCCAGCCAUGCCGCGUGAAUGAAGAAGGCCUUCGGGUUGUAAAGUUCUUUUAGUAGUGAAGAUGAUGACAGUAGCUACAGAAAAAGCACCGGCUAACUUCGUGCCAGCCGCCGC
RNAcentral lists this ribosomal RNA (469 nucleotides) under uncultured bacterium. RNAcentral's name for it is "bacterial SSU rRNA". It matches the Rfam family "Bacterial small subunit ribosomal RNA", at positions 8 to 518 of the family's 1533-position model. The record is from RNAcentral.